UGGACUUUUUGAGCAUUAAGAGGCUGUGAGUGGUGAGGAUUCAGAGCACGAGUUUCUACCAUCAAUAACAAUGGGAUGAAGGCAUGGUGACCGCAGAGCAGGGUUCCUGUCACCGGGAAGGAAGACAGGUGAGAAUUUUCCCUGAGAUAAUAGUGAACAACAUAUCACAAGCACCAAUGUGGAAGUUUCUUUCAUGACGUCAGGUCUUUUGGGAAGCUGAGUCUUUCAGGAGAGCAUUUAAAUCAUGACUUUGUAGCAUGAGAGUGUUAAAACAGCCUUGAAAUGCCUCAGCGGACACUGGCUCCACGCAUGCUGCCCUCAUGUAGGUUGUUACUCACAUCCAGCCUGCUGUCUGGACAAGGCAGUUACUUUUCUGCUUUCUCGACUUCUCUUAUUAAUUCCAUUACCAACUGGGAUGUCAAAUGACAAACGGAGGCAAUAGAAUUCUAUGCUUUAGCUUCUGCCUCGUGUGCAGAUGAGGACAAGUCUCCAGAGAAGCCGUAGUUCCUGCUUCCCUUAUCUUGAGAACCACUUUUCAUGGACGGAGCAUCUUACUAAGCAGAAGGGCGUUUUCACGGCACAGGACACCAUCUUCUUUCUACGAGCACAAAUGACUUUAAUUUCAAGGCUCAUGCUCUUCUCAUCUGUGAUUUUCCUGCAGCAUCUGGCACAGAGACUUGCAUUUUACAGGAGACAUAAAAAUGCAGCUUUAAUUAAGCAUUAAAAGACUUUUAAAAAUUUGUCUAUCAGUAAACUUAGGAUUUGCACACUUUUUUGUGUAUUUAUUGUAAUUCAGUAAGAAAUCUUUCUUUAGAAAAACGUGCCCAGAGAGUAAUCCUUUCUUGAUGUAAAUUUAUUACAUUUCAUUCCUAGAGAAAGGAAUUAUGUGAUGAUUUAAAUGAUUUCCUUCAGUGAAUGAAUGAAUGGAAUGGAAUGAAUAAAUGCAUUAGAAGAAGAAAAAUUCUUUACAAAGAGAUGAUUUUUUAAAUUGAAUGUUGUGU
Molecule: long non-coding RNA, 1001 nt
Organism: Diceros bicornis minor
Lineage: Eukaryota; Metazoa; Chordata; Mammalia; Perissodactyla; Rhinocerotidae
Exons: 3
Source: RefSeq, a predicted model, not a curated record